CUUCCUCGUCUUCUCCGUCCUCUGGACUCCGCUCGUCCGCCGCCGCCGCCAUGGUCCCGCGGCGCCUCGCCUUCUAGUCACUGGCCACGCCCGCCCGGAGCCGCCAUCUUGAGUACGGGCUUCAGCUCCGAGGCGAAGCAGCUUAUUGGGUUCCUGCCGCUCCGCUCCUCGCCGCGCAAAUUGCUUCUGCCAGAACUCGAGAUGUCGGCUUCCGGCGGGCGGGUGGCUACGGGCGCCGAGAGCGCCGGUACCCACGUGGAGACUCGCCACGGGCCUCCUCGUUUCUCGGUGCCUCAGAGCAGGGGCUGGGGGUGGGCUGCCGUAGGCAGCGGAGCCCGCUCGGUCACGCAAGAGUCGCCGGGCUCUCGGCCCCGCUGGCGGGGAGGACUGGCAAGGCAGAAGGGAUAAAGGCGAAAACAAGGAAACCAUGGUUUCAGGCGGAUCAUGGACAGAAAGGCCUUGUGUUUGACCCGAGCACAUUUCUUGGAAAGAAAUUCUUAAUAUUGUGUGAGCGCUCAUCCUCAAUUCAACGUACCCCAAGCCAAGUUAAAGGCACAUUCAGUUUAAUACUAAUGAGCGCCUACACAGUAAAAAGCACUGCACCAGGAGCUAUGAAAAAUAGAAAGUGGGCUUAAGUUUCAGGCCUGCAGGAGCAUAAGAUCUGUGAGAGGUACAUAAAUGGAUCCAAGCAAGUGCUGUAAGAGAUACACAUUGUUAUAGGAACACAGAGACCUGGGCAAGAGAAGUUUGAACAGAAUUUUCAGAAGUAUCCCAUAGAUGUUUGUGAUUGUGAAAGAAACGGUCUUCGUACUUGCGAUAGCGUGAUCUAGUGGUUAAGAUCGUGAGUUUUGGAUUUUUAUUUAUUUAUUUAUUUGGAGAUGGAGUUUUGCUCUUGUUACCCAGGCUGGAGUGCAAUGGUGCAAUCUCGGCUCACUGCAGCCUCCACCUCCCGGGUUCAAGCGAUUCUCCUGCCUCAGCCUCCCGAGUAGCUGGGA
Molecule: long non-coding RNA, 995 nt
Filed under: Homo sapiens (human)
Lineage: Eukaryota; Metazoa; Chordata; Mammalia; Primates; Hominidae
Description: non-protein coding lnc-CDK19-6:1
Source: RNAcentral